CACUGUGUUUGGCUGGAAUCUGAAACAAAACAGUGGACAUGAAGUGUUCUGAAUGGUGUUGGCGAUAAGCACUAGGGGGCUAGCAGCGAAUGUGCUUGCCCUUACUUGAGCUACACUAUUAGACGUCUGGAAGAAAGUUCCAAUAUUUACAGAGGAUGUAGUUUGCAUUAAGGGAAGGAAAAAGGUCCUAUAAACAUUGGUCAUAAAUCUCAUAUCUUCAGAGUUAUGUCCUGCAUGUGGACGAGGAACCUAUCUUGCAUACCAAGCACUUUGAUAUGCAGCACAAUGUGUUUUCAAUGGUAUCAACCAUGCACCCAACCGAGGAACACUUGCAGUAUUCAGCAGCAUACUACGCUCUCGAUGGAGGCCUACUAUUCAACACAAGAGAUGGGAGGUACGGUCUUCUGCCAUGAAGAAGCAGAUGGAAGGAGCCAACGAGCUUUUAACCUCUAUGUCACCAAAUGUCCACAAUGCCAUACACCAUCUGUAAAGAUGUUUUGUACCCUUUUCCAGUGGCUUUGCACCAUGAACAUGGGAUCAUGGCAGACCUCAAACAACUUGCAGUGA
Long non-coding RNA from Schistocerca piceifrons (Central American locust), 567 nucleotides. RefSeq lists it as uncharacterized. The record is from RefSeq and is a predicted model, not a curated record. The transcript has 2 exons. Lineage: Eukaryota; Metazoa; Arthropoda; Insecta; Orthoptera; Acrididae.